This 656-nucleotide ribosomal RNA is filed under the name uncultured Alphaproteobacteria bacterium. RNAcentral describes it as "bacterial SSU rRNA". It matches the Rfam family "Bacterial small subunit ribosomal RNA", at positions 35 to 738 of the family's 1533-position model. The record is from RNAcentral. Lineage: Bacteria; Pseudomonadati; Pseudomonadota; Alphaproteobacteria.
GCUGGCGGCAUGCCUAACACAUGCAAGUCGAACGCUAUCUUUGAUAGAGUGGCGCACGGGUGAGUAACGCGUGGGAACCUGCCUUUCUCUGCGGGACAACGGUUGGAAACGACCGCUAAUACCGCAUACGCCCUACGGGGGAAAGGUCAGCCGGAGAAAGAGGGGCCCGCGUUCGAUUAGCUUGUUGGUGGGGUAAUGGCCUACCAAGGCGACGAUCGAUAGCUGGUCUGAGAGGAUGAUCAGCCACACUGGGACUGAGACACGGCCCAGACUCCUACGGGAGGCAGCAGUGGGGAAUAUUGGACAAUGGGGGCAACCCUGAUCCAGCAAUGCCGCGUGUGUGAUGAAGGCCUUAGGGUUGUAAAGCACUUUCACUGGUGAAGAUGAUGACGGUAGCCAGAGAAGAAGCCCCGGCUAACUUCGUGCCAGCAGCCGCGGUAAUACGAAGGGGGCGAGCGUUGUUCGGAAUUACUGGGCGUAAAGGGCGCGUAGGCGGUCCUUUAAGUUAGGCGUGAAAGCCCCGGGCUCAACCUGGGAACUGCGCUUAAGACUGGAGGACUAGAAAACGGAAGAGGGUAGUGGAAAUCCCAGUGUAGAGGUGAAAUUCGUAGAUAUUGGGAAGAACACCAGUGGCGAAAGCGGCUACCUGGUCCGAU